RNAcentral lists this long non-coding RNA (2086 nucleotides) under Sus scrofa (pig). Its description in RNAcentral is "lncRNA (ENSSSCG00015063584.1)". Lineage: Eukaryota; Metazoa; Chordata; Mammalia; Artiodactyla; Suidae. The record is from RNAcentral.
UGCAGCAUGUGUAAGUUCCUGGGCUAGGGGUUGAAAGGGAGCUGCAGCUGCCAGUCUACACCACAGCCGCAGCAACACCAGAUCCUUAACUCACUGAGCAGGACCAGGAAUCAAACCCGCGUCCUCAUGGAUACUAGUCAGGUUCGUUACCACCGAGCCACAAGGGGAACUGUGAGUAGAUCUGUAUAUAUUAGUAUGGAAACAUGUUUAUGACAUAUUUGAAGCUGAAGAAAGACUAGCAUGAUCCCAUUUCUGUUCUUUACAAACCAGCCCACAAAGGGCCGUAUUCAUGUGGAGGAUAGACACACCGAACCAUAAACAGUGAUUACAGCCGGGGAGCUGGAGGGAAGAGCUUUCGCUUUUCUACGUACACUUGUCUUUUCUUUUUCCAUUUUUUUUUAAACGAGUCAGUAUACUUUUGCAAUUAAUUUUAUAUCAGAAAGAAUUCCACUUUAUGCUUCAGGGCAACGUUCCACUUCCCCAACCAUUUCUGAACACUCAGACCAUUCAGUCCCACUGACAGGUCGGCGGGGCAGCAUUGAGGGCGCCCCUCCCAGACUGGCCUGUGUGUUCUGCACUGCCUGGAACAGAGCAGCUCUUUAAGCUCUCAACCGGCUGUAAACAACACCUGCCGAAAAAAGCUCUUAAGACACAAAGGAAUCAUGGAAAGAGAGCGCUGGAGAUAACCUCCUUUUUCCAGUUGGUCUGCAGUGAGAUCCACCCCACCGUUGCACGUUGGGUGAGUCAACUCAACCGGAGGUCCUAUCUGCUCCCUCACCCCCACCGCCCCAGCCCUCGCACCACGCCCCCAUUCAAAGGGCCUGGUGCUCUGAAAAGUACGCUGACCCACCAGCUUUCUUCUCUUUCUGUACAUCUCUGAUUUCAACUUAGAAACACAUUUUUUAUACUCCACAGCUUGCUUCUUAGUUCCAAGAAGUGCUCCCUGCAAGUCUGCUAGGUCUUGCAGAGGCUUUCCCUGGCCCCCGGGACCCCGGCUGAGCUUGACUCCUGGGUGGGCGCCCACCAGGCCCUCUCUACACAGCUCCGGAGCUGAUCCUAUGCCUCUAUCUGUGUGGGCCCCAGAGCAGAGCGCAGCAGGAAGCAACACCUUCUGCUGCAGGUCACACUCACUCCACGGGGGCAGGGUGAUUCAAUACGUGAAAGCAAAAUGUAUGUUCUUCAUCAACAGAUGAGUGGAGAGACAAAGGGAGGGGGUGAUGGACUAUUACUCAGCCUUAAAAAGGAAAGGAAUUCAGACACAUGCCGCAACACAGACAGAUGAACCCUGAAAAAGUUAGGCUAAGUAAAAGGAGCCAUUGACCAAAGGGCAAAUAUGGGAUAAUGAAACUUCCAGGAGGAACCCAGACUGAUCAAAGUGAAAUGGAAAGUGGAUGGCAGUUGUCAGGGCCUGAGGCGGGAGAACAGGGAGUGUGUUUAACGGGUGCAGGGUUUCAACUUGAUAACGUGCUGGAGGUGGAGAGCAGGUGCACGAGACCGCGAAUGCACUUAAUGCCACUGGACUGGACACCAAAAAUGGUCACAAUGGCAAAUGUUAUUUCUGUGUAUUCUACCACAACAAAAUAAACAGUUGUUGAGAAAACCUGUGCUUAGGAGCUCCUCUGUGGCACACAGGAUCUGUUGUCGUCACCGCAGCAGCUCGGGUUGCUGCUGUGGCUCAGGUUUGAUCCCUGACUCAAGAACUUCCACAUGCCGUGGGCGUGGUCAAAAGCAAAAGACAAAAACACCUGUAUUUAAAGUUGUGAAAACUUAUUUAAAAAAAAAAAAAAAGGAGGAAAAAGGGAAAAAAAAAGAAAUUAACAGGGGCUAGGCAAGAAUCAUGGGAGGGAAUGAGCUCUCCGGCUGAAGGGAUUCCAAAGGCCUCUUUAAGGAGGUGCUUGCCCUCCCCCCACCAGGCCAUGAGCUCCAGGACACAAGUGGGGCACCCACAUCCGUGUCGUCAGAACGGUAUGUUUUAAGACACCUGUUCAGACCCAAACCGGGAAAUGAGGUCAGACCCUAAGCCUCACACAUCAAAGCGCUUCACCAGGACUGAGACACCCAGAAUUCAGCGGCCCAUGAAGGAAGC